This 2892-nucleotide ribosomal RNA is filed under the name Cronobacter dublinensis subsp. lactaridi LMG 23825. RNAcentral describes it as "bacterial LSU rRNA". It matches the Rfam family "Bacterial large subunit ribosomal RNA". The record is from RNAcentral. Lineage: Bacteria; Pseudomonadati; Pseudomonadota; Gammaproteobacteria; Enterobacterales; Enterobacteriaceae.
ACAAGCGUACACGGUGGAUGCCCUGGCAGUCAGAGGCGAUGAAGGACGUGCUAAUCUGCGAAAAGCGCCGGUGAGGUGAUAUGAACCGUUACAGCCGGCGAUGUCCGAAUGGGGAAACCCAGUGUGAUUCGUCACACUAUCUCAGCAUGAAUACAUAGUGCUGUGAGGCGAACCGGGGGAACUGAAACAUCUAAGUACCCCGAGGAAAAGAAAUCAACCGAGAUUCCCCCAGUAGCGGCGAGCGAACGGGGAACAGCCCAGAGCCUGAAUCAGCUUGUGUGUCAGUGGAACGGUCUGGAAAGGCCGGCGAUACAGGGUGACAGCCCCGUACACGAAGGCACACAGGCUGUGAGCUCGAUGAGUAGGGCGGGACACGUGAUAUCCUGUCUGAAGAUGGGGGGACCAUCCUCCAAGGCUAAAUACUCCUGACUGACCGAUAGUGAACCAGUACCGUGAGGGAAAGGCGAAAAGAACCCCGGCGAGGGGAGUGAAACAGAACCUGAAACCGUGUACGUACAAGCAGUGGGAGCCUUCGUAAGAGGGUGACUGCGUACCUUUUGUAUAAUGGGUCAGCGACUUAUAUUCUGUAGCAAGGUUAACCGUAUAGGGGAGCCGAAGGGAAACCGAGUCUUAAUUGGGCGUUAAGUUGCAGGGUAUAGACCCGAAACCCGGUGAUCUAGCCAUGGGCAGGUUGAAGGUUGGGUAACACUAACUGGAGGACCGAACCGACUAAUGUUGAAAAAUUAGCGGAUGACCUGUGGCUGGGGGUGAAAGGCCAAUCAAACCGGGAGAUAGCUGGUUCUCCCCGAAAGCUAUUUAGGUAGCGCCUCGUGAACUCAUCUUCGGGGGUAGAGCACUGUUUCGGCUAGGGGGCCAUCCCGGCUUACCAACCCGAUGCAAACUACGAAUACCGAAGAAUGUUAUCACGGGAGACACACGGCGGGUGCUAACGUCCGUCGUGAAGAGGGAAACAACCCAGACCGCCAGCUAAGGUCCCAAAGUCAUGGUUAAGUGGGAAACGAUGUGGGAAGGCACAGACAGCCAGGAUGUUGGCUUAGAAGCAGCCAUCAUUUAAAGAAAGCGUAAUAGCUCACUGGUCGAGUCGGCCUGCGCGGAAGAUGUAACGGGGCUAAACCAUGCACCGAAGCUGCGGCAGCGACACUAUGUGUUGUUGGGUAGGGGAGCGUUCUGUAAGCCUGCGAAGGUGUGCUGUGAGGCAUGCUGGAGGUAUCAGAAGUGCGAAUGCUGACAUAAGUAACGAUAAAGCGGGUGAAAAGCCCGCUCGCCGGAAGACCAAGGGUUCCUGUCCAACGUUAAUCGGGGCAGGGUGAGUCGACCCCUAAGGCGAGGCCGAAAGGCGUAGUCGAUGGGAAACAGGUUAAUAUUCCUGUACUUGGUGUUACUGCGAAGGGGGGACGGAGAAGGCUAUGUUGGCCGGGCGACGGUUGUCCCGGUUUAAGCGUGUAGGUGUGUGUUCCAGGUAAAUCCGGUUCACUUUAACACUGAGGCGUGAUGACGAGGCACUACGGUGCUGAAGUAACAAAUGCCCUGCUUCCAGGAAAAGCCUCUAAGCAUCAGGUAACAUCAAAUCGUACCCCAAACCGACACAGGUGGUCAGGUAGAGAAUACCAAGGCGCUUGAGAGAACUCGGGUGAAGGAACUAGGCAAAAUGGUGCCGUAACUUCGGGAGAAGGCACGCUGACAUGUAGGUGAAGCCCCUGCGGGUGGAGCUGAAGUCAGUCGAAGAUACCAGCUGGCUGCAACUGUUUAUUAAAAACACAGCACUGUGCAAACACGAAAGUGGACGUAUACGGUGUGACGCCUGCCCGGUGCCGGAAGGUUAAUUGAUGGGGUUAUCGCAAGAGAAGCUCCUGAUCGAAGCCCCGGUAAACGGCGGCCGUAACUAUAACGGUCCUAAGGUAGCGAAAUUCCUUGUCGGGUAAGUUCCGACCUGCACGAAUGGCGUAAUGAUGGCCAGGCUGUCUCCACCCGAGACUCAGUGAAAUUGAACUCGCUGUGAAGAUGCAGUGUACCCGCGGCAAGACGGAAAGACCCCGUGAACCUUUACUACAGCUUGACACUGAACAUUGAGCCUUGAUGUGUAGGAUAGGUGGGAGGCUUUGAAGCGUGGACGCCAGUCUGCGUGGAGCCAACCUUGAAAUACCACCCUUUAAUGUUUGAUGUUCUAACCUGGCGCCCUAAUCGGGCGUGGGGACAGUGUCUGGUGGGUAGUUUGACUGGGGCGGUCUCCUCCCAAAGUGUAACGGAGGAGCACGAAGGUCAGCUAAUCCUGGUCGGACAUCAGGAGGUUAGUGCAAUGGCAUAAGCUGGCUUGACUGCGAGAGUGACGGCUCGAGCAGGUGCGAAAGCAGGUCAUAGUGAUCCGGUGGUUCUGUAUGGAAGGGCCAUCGCUCAACGGAUAAAAGGUACUCCGGGGAUAACAGGCUGAUACCGCCCAAGAGUUCAUAUCGACGGCGGUGUUUGGCACCUCGAUGUCGGCUCAUCACAUCCUGGGGCUGAAGUAGGUCCCAAGGGUAUGGCUGUUCGCCAUUUAAAGUGGUACGCGAGCUGGGUUUAGAACGUCGUGAGACAGUUCGGUCCCUAUCUGCCGUGGGCGCUGGAGAAUUGAGGGGGGCUGCUCCCAGUACGAGAGGACCGGAGUGGACGCAUCACUGGUGUUCGGGUUGUCAUGCCAAUGGCACUGCCCGGUAGCUAAAUGCGGAAGAGAUAAGUGCUGAAAGCAUCUAAGCACGAAACUUGCCCCGAGAUGAGUUCUCCCUGACUCCUUGAGAGUCCUGAAGGAACGUUGAAGACGACGACGUUGAUAGGCCGGGUGUGUAAGCGCAGCGAUGCGUUGAGCUAACCGGUACUAAUGAACCGUGAGGCUUAACC